UACGAAGGGUGCAAGCGUUACUCGGAAUUACUGGGCGUAAAGCGUGCGUAGGUGGUGAGUUAAGUCUGAUGUGAAAUCCCCGGGCUCAACCUGGGAAUGGCAUUGGAUACUGGCUCGCUAGAGUGCGGUAGAGGGUGGUGGAAUUCCCGGUGUAGCAGUGAAAUGCGUAGAGAUCGGGAGGAACAUCUGUGGCGAAGGCGGCCACCUGGACCAACACUGACACUGAGGCAUGAAAGCGUGGGGGGCAAACAGG
RNAcentral lists this ribosomal RNA (253 nucleotides) under uncultured bacterium. RNAcentral's name for it is "partial 16S ribosomal RNA". It matches the Rfam family "Bacterial small subunit ribosomal RNA", at positions 524 to 776 of the family's 1533-position model. The record is from RNAcentral.